This is a small nuclear RNA of Nannospalax galili (Upper Galilee mountains blind mole rat), 106 nucleotides long. The record is from Ensembl. Lineage: Eukaryota; Metazoa; Chordata; Mammalia; Rodentia; Spalacidae.
AUGCUUACUUCAGCAUCACAUAUACUAUAAUUAGAAUGAUACAGAAAAUUUAGUAUGGACCCUACACAAGGAUGACAUGCAAAUAUGUGAGGCAUUCCAUUAAUGA